AUGAAAGUGAUUCGAGGCGGCCGAGCCUGGGCAGCUGCCCUAGCUGGCCGGACGCUGGCUCCGCCAGCUGGAUGUUUAAGAUUUGUUGGUCAGACCCAGGUUUUGAACUCUGGUUGUGGCUGCAGUUAUGCUGUGACUCUUGAUAUUACGGAUAAAUGCAGAGGAAUGUGGUUGAUGCCGCUGCGAUGCUUUUGCAAAGGCCUCCAAAACCUUCAUAUUGCAUCUGCUAUACAGCUGCAAAGGCCUCCAGAACCUUCAUAUUGCGGCUGCCAUCGUGGUUGUGGACCGUAA
Non-coding RNA from Vicia faba (fava bean), 291 nucleotides. Lineage: Eukaryota; Viridiplantae; Streptophyta; Magnoliopsida; Fabales; Fabaceae. The record is from the annotation of a GenBank genome assembly.